Molecule: ribosomal RNA, 254 nt
Filed under: uncultured bacterium
Lineage: Bacteria
Description: partial 16S ribosomal RNA
Rfam family: Bacterial small subunit ribosomal RNA
Source: RNAcentral
UACGGGGGGGGCAAGCGUUGUUCGGAAUUACUGGGCGUAAAGGGCUCGUAGGCGGCCAACUAAGUCGGAUGUGAAAUCCCCAGGCUCAACGUGGAGGGGUCAUUCGAUACUGCCGUGACUUGAGUACGGUAGGGGAGUGUGGAAUUCCCGGUGUAGCGGUGAAAUGCGCAGAGAUCGGGAGGAACACCCGUAGCGAAGGCGGCACUCUGGGCCGAUACUGACGCUGAGGAGCGAAAGCGUGGGGAGCGAACAGG